RNAcentral lists this long non-coding RNA (890 nucleotides) under Chinchilla lanigera (long-tailed chinchilla). RNAcentral describes it as "lncRNA (ENSCLAG00000023027.1)". The record is from RNAcentral. Lineage: Eukaryota; Metazoa; Chordata; Mammalia; Rodentia; Chinchillidae.
UCCGUGCUCAGGAGCGAGCCAGCACCCUCGUUCCUCCAGCAGCCCUGCGAGUGUGGAAGAGACGACUGGACCCACGGCGAGCGCACAAGAGAAGUGAGCCGGACGGGAGAACGUGUGUAGGAGAGCGUGUCUGGGAACUGCCUGGAUCUCCAGUGCAGAGGCCACUGCUUGCUGAAAUGGAAGCCAUGGCUCUGUGCGCCUCCUCUGAAGAGACUGUGCCUCUGAGUUGUGAAAAUGAGCCCACUGCCCUAAAGAUGCUUCUGCUGCUCCGUCUGUGCGGACAAAGGUGCUUCCCGGCCACUUGACUUCGAGCUGGGCCCGCACGCUUGUGUCGAUGUGGGGAAGAUGUGCAGAGUCGGGCUUGGAAGGUCUGCAGGCCUUGGCUUGCUGUUUUUCACACUGGCCUUGGCCAGAACAUGUCAGGGCCAGCCCUCUGCCCACAGCGGGCAACAGAAGGCUGGAGCAAGCUGCCCCUGGCGUUUGCCUCCCCAACACACGCCGCCUAGUGGCCCCGCAGGCCCGUGACCCAGACCAGCACCUCCUGCAGGCCACGAAGUCUUUGUGCUUGAUGUCACCUAGUAACGAGUCCCAGCACGGACACGGCAGUGUCACCGAGGUCUCCAUGAGUUCGGCAUUGCCGGCCCUCUUGGGUCACUGCGUAUAGGCAGUGGCUUGGGCUCCUGGUCACCUGCCUCCCAAGAUGCUGGGCAUCCAGCAGAAGCAGGUGUGAUGCUCUUCCAAACCCUGCACUUGUGCCUUGCAGGUCUUCCCUCCCAGCUCCUCCGCACCUGGGUCCAUCUUUGGUUAUUUUUGCUGUUACCUUUCAUACCCAUUUCCUGAUGACAGGAACUACUAGCAAUAAAGCACUUGGCAGUAAUGCUGGUCACCAC